Bubalus bubalis (water buffalo) is the source of this 883-nucleotide long non-coding RNA. RefSeq lists it as uncharacterized. The record is from RefSeq and is a predicted model, not a curated record. The transcript is spliced from 5 exons. NCBI's taxonomy places the organism in Eukaryota, Metazoa, Chordata, Mammalia, Artiodactyla, Bovidae.
GCCGGAUGGAAUAAAUACCCUGGGAGGGCGUUUUCUUGUUACUGUUUCCCAGAGCAGUGGGGAUUCCAGGGCAGCACGUGGGAGCUCCAGUUGGGCAGCUUCCCCUGCCACGGAGAAGAGGGGAUGCCAAGGAGGUACUCAUCAUUCAGCCUGUCAUUCACCCGACAGUCAGCCCCAGGAGAGAGCCACUCAACAGGGAGUUUGGAUGCUCUCCAACUUGUGUGAUCCAGACAAGUCGCUUCCCUUCUCUGGACCUCGAUUUCUUCAAGUAAAACGUGAGGAUUUUUCCAGUUCUAAGACAGGAGGCCUUUUCCAUCCCAUGGGGAACAAGAUGAACUAAGAGCUUGGCUCAAGUGGAAAGCAUCCAGCAACCUCCACCCGGAUACAGCUGGCCACCCCUCGGGCAGCCAUAGCAGGUGGCCACCAAAUCAAACAGAACCUCUGAUGGCUCCUACCCAGGACUUCUGACCACUGAACACCUGUGAUUCCUGAAACAGAACAGGAGAGGGGCUGGAAACCAGCAGAUGAGAGGAGCCUGCCAGAACAAAGGGGAAGCGUCAGGAGGGAACACGUUGGAGCUGAGCAACCGCAGAAGCAAAAUGAAAGAGCCCAGACAGUUGUAUAAAGUGCCAAACAGCAAACAGAUGGGGAGGAAAAACUGACUCACUGAAAUGAGGGAGACAGACAGAGAAGGCACCAUGGAGGAGAGCCCUCUGCGAGUCAGGCUUGAGGUCAUCCUUAACUAGACUCCCGAGACCCUGGCUCAGUCUCAUGAGCCCUCCGGCUUUGCCUAAUUUGGCCGCAGCAACAGUCUGGCAAACACAGGAGGAUAUAGUCUAAUUUCUGCAAUAAUGAAAAGCCUCAAGACACAUUUACUCCCUAA